This is a long non-coding RNA of Sander lucioperca (pikeperch), 133 nucleotides long. RefSeq lists it as uncharacterized. The record is from RefSeq and is a predicted model, not a curated record. NCBI's taxonomy places the organism in Eukaryota, Metazoa, Chordata, Actinopteri, Perciformes, Percidae. The transcript has 2 exons.
AAAUGCAGAAAGCAGGCAGGCAGGCAGGAGAAGUCUGAGUUGGAAGAUUUAUUUGUCCAAAAAACAAAGUGCAAAUUAACAAAGGGAGUCCUGAGAGGGGCAGGCAAACACUAAUCUAGAGUGUAGAAAACAA